RNAcentral lists this ribosomal RNA (440 nucleotides) under uncultured bacterium. RNAcentral's name for it is "partial 16S ribosomal RNA". It matches the Rfam family "Bacterial small subunit ribosomal RNA", at positions 338 to 795 of the family's 1533-position model. The record is from RNAcentral.
ACUACGGGUGGCAGCAGUGGGGGAUAUUGCACAAUGGGGGGAACCCUGAUGCAGCGACGCCGCGUGGGUGAAGAAGCGCCUCGGCGCGUAAAGCCCUGUCAGCAGGGAAGAAAAUGACGGUACCUGAAGAAGAAGCCCCGGCUAACCACGUGCCAGCAGCCGCGGUAAUACGUAGGGGGCAAGCGUUAUCCGGAUUUACUGGGUGUAAAGGGGGCGCAGACGGCGAUGCAAGCCAGGAGUGAAAGCCCGGGGCCCAACCCCGGGACUGCUCUUGGAACUGCGUGGCUGGAGUGCAGGAGGGGCAGGCGGAAUUCCUGGUGUAGCGGUGAAAUGCGUAGAUAUCAGGAGGAACACCGGUGGCGAAGGCGGCCUGCUGGACUGCAACUGACGUUGAGGCCCGAAAGCGUGGGGAGCAAACAGGAUUAGAUACCCCUGUAGUC